AAGGGCAGAAUGGGACUCCAAGCCUGGUGAGAAAUUGAGAGGGCUCGGGAGAAAGGGAUCACGUUGGAGGGAGCACACAUUGGGAGGGUGGGAACACAAGGACAACGUAGCUCCCACUGAAACCCACCUGCUGCCCCUACAGCCUCCUAGGGCUCUUUGCCCUCAUCCUCUCUGGCAAAUGCAGUUACAGCCCGGAGCCCGACCAGCGGAGGACGAAAAUACCUGACCCUAGAGAAUGUGGCUGAUCUGGUGAGGCCAUCCCCACUGACCCUCCACACGGUGCAAAAAUGGCUCUUGGCAGCCGGAGCCCAGAAGUGCCAUUCUGUGAUCACACAGGACUUUCUGACUUGCUGGCUGAGCAUCCGACAAGCAGAGCUGCUGCUCCCUGGGGCUGAGUUUCAUCACUAUGUGGGAGGACCUACGGAAACCCAUGUUGUAAGGUCCCCACAUCCCUACCAGCUUCCACAGGCCUUGGCCCCCCAUGUGGACUUUGUGGGGGGACUGCACCGUUUUCCCCCAACAUCAUCCCUGAGGCAACGUCCUGAGCCGCAGGUGACAGGGACUGUAGGCCUGCAUCUGGGGGUAACCCCCUCUGUGAUCCGUAAGCGAUACAACUUGACCUCACAAGACGUGGGC
Molecule: long non-coding RNA, 636 nt
Filed under: Homo sapiens (human)
Lineage: Eukaryota; Metazoa; Chordata; Mammalia; Primates; Hominidae
Description: non-protein coding lnc-DCHS1-1:2
Source: RNAcentral